UGCUCUUUUCUGGCGUGAUCAAACACAACAACAGUCCUUAUUCAUCACCAGUAAUCUUAGUUAAAGAGCAUGAUGGGUCGUGGUGCAUGUGUGUUGACUAUCGUGCUCUUAACAAGAUCAAAGGCAAGGACCAGUUUCCAAUUCCAGUUAUUGAUGAAUUAAUGGAUGAAUUAAAUGGAGCAAAAGUAUUCUCAAAGCUUGAUCUGCAAAGUGGGUAUCAUCAAAUUCGAGUGGUACCGAAGGACACAACAAAGACGGCUUUCCGAACGUAUCAUGGCCAUUAUGAGUUUUUGAUAAUGCCAUUUGGCCUUACCAAUGCUCCAUCCUCUUUCCAAGCUCUAAUGAAUGAGAUAGCCUGGAAAACAAUUAAUUGAAGAGAAUGCUGUGCUUAAAGAACGUGCAUGUCAUUUAUAUAUUAUGAUUGUGGACAGCCUGGAAAACAAUUAAUUGAAGAGAAUGUUGUGUUGUCAAAACAUGCCUAUCACUUAUGUAUAGUGAUCGCAUAUUUGAGAUAUGGCUAGUACAGUUUGGAAAUUGGUUGACCGAAGCAGGCAUUAAACUGGUAUAAACUAAUUCAGAUGAGUUUAAUCGGUUAACUAUUUUCCUCCUUUGGAACAAUAAUUUAGCUCAUGGAUUUUCUGAUUUAUGGGAGGAAAAUUCAAAUGUGCUUAUUAUUAUUAUUAUUCAUCUUUGUUGAUGCUCUCUCUCUCUCUCUCUCUCUCUCUCUCUCCAUUCUAUGGUGUUGUUGAACAGAUGGGCAUGGAAUAUGAAUAUCAAUUGAAGCUAUGGCUUUUACAUUAUUGCUUAA
Diospyros lotus (date-plum) is the source of this 808-nucleotide long non-coding RNA. RefSeq lists it as uncharacterized. The record is from RefSeq and is a predicted model, not a curated record. NCBI's taxonomy places the organism in Eukaryota, Viridiplantae, Streptophyta, Magnoliopsida, Ericales, Ebenaceae. The transcript has 2 exons.